RNAcentral lists this ribosomal RNA (496 nucleotides) under uncultured bacterium. RNAcentral describes it as "partial 16S ribosomal RNA". It matches the Rfam family "Bacterial small subunit ribosomal RNA", at positions 29 to 507 of the family's 1533-position model. The record is from RNAcentral.
AUGAACGCUGGCGGCGUGCCUAAUACAUGCAAGUCGAGCGAACAGACGAGGAGCUUGCUCCUCUGACGUUAGCGGCGGACGGGUGAGUAACACGUGGAUAACCUACCUAUAAGACUGGGAUAACUUCGGGAAACCGGAGCUAAUACCGGAUAAUAUAUUGAACCGCAUGGUUCAAUAGUGAAAGACGGUUUUGCUGUCACUUAUAGAUGGAUCCGCGCCGCAUUAGCUAGUUGGUAAGGUAACGGCUUACCAAGGCAACGAUGCGUAGCCGACCUGAGAGGGUGAUCGGCCACACUGGAACUGAGACACGGUCCAGACUCCUACGGGAGGCAGCAGUAGGGAAUCUUCCGCAAUGGGCGAAAGCUUGACGGAGCAACGCCGCGUGAGUGAUGAAGGUCUUCGGAUCGUAAAACUCUGUUAUUAGGGAAGAACAAAUGUGUAAGUAACUAUGCACGUCUUGACGGUGCCUAAUCAGAAAGCCACGGCUAACUACGUG